ACACAUACCUGGUGCCGGGACCUCCGUGAUCGCGAAGGCGGAGGCCCCAGGAGGGGGCCCUUCCACUGCAUUCCGGAAGGGCUGAGACCUGCCACUCUCUCAAAUUGGGAAAGAUGGGGCAUGUAAUUUUUGGUAGUGGGGGUUGCGCCGACGCAGACCCCCA
This 163-nucleotide small nuclear RNA is filed under the name Tropilaelaps mercedesae. RNAcentral's name for it is "U1 spliceosomal RNA". It matches the Rfam family "U1 spliceosomal RNA". Rfam says of the family: U1 is a small nuclear RNA (snRNA) component of the spliceosome (involved in pre-mRNA splicing). Its 5' end forms complementary base pairs with the 5' splice junction, thus defining the 5' donor site of an intron. There are significant differences in sequence and secondary structure between metazoan and yeast U1 snRNAs, the latter being much longer (568 nucleotides as compared to 164 nucleotides in human). The record is from Rfam by way of RNAcentral. Lineage: Eukaryota; Metazoa; Arthropoda; Arachnida; Mesostigmata; Laelapidae.